This is a long non-coding RNA of Etheostoma spectabile (orangethroat darter), 726 nucleotides long. RefSeq lists it as uncharacterized. NCBI's taxonomy places the organism in Eukaryota, Metazoa, Chordata, Actinopteri, Perciformes, Percidae. The transcript is spliced from 3 exons. The record is from RefSeq and is a predicted model, not a curated record.
CAUUUUGGGGGUUGACUGUUUCAUCGCUGUGGCUGUGACAUUUUGGUCGGAUAAUAAUAUCUUGUUCAGCGGUCGGUUGCACGGCAAGACACUCAAAGGAAUCGGCAGUUCAGUUUUUCCGACUUCCUUUUGAUGAGGAGGCUGAAGCAAUGGUUGGUGAACAUGAGGAGAGAGAGACCAGCAAAUGGAACCACGAAAAGUCACGUCUGCUGUUCACACUUUGAGGAAGAUCAGUUUUUUAGAGACAAGCAGGUAUCCCCACUGAAAACUGAAUGAGCAGAGCCUCCAGAAGGAAGACGAGGUGUAUAUAGCCUCCAGAAGGAAGACCUGGUGUAUAGAGCCUCCAGAAGGAAGACGAGGUGUAUAGAGCCUCCAGAAGGAAGACCUGUUGUGUAGAGCGGCGUAUUUGGUGCCAUUUCAUCUGGAUGUGGAAACCAGAGCGUUGACCACAUCCAAAGUUCUCAAAUGUGUUCUGAUUGUAAAAAUGCCAGAAAAUCAUUUUUGGUUCAGCUUCUUCUGCUGGAAGGAUGGACAAUCUUUUGGCACUUGGUAGUUAGAGGUUCAAUUUCUUGUGGUUGACUUAGUUUCUGCUGUAGUUUGAGAGGUGAUAGUAGUAACAUUAAGUAGUUUUGUGGAUUAAAACUUUUAUAAAUAUUAAACUGGAAUAAAAUAAUGAAUAUACUCUAGCAGUCACAGGUGAAAGUAUGUUUGGUAAUUUCACAUAAA